This 313-nucleotide ribosomal RNA is filed under the name uncultured bacterium. RNAcentral describes it as "bacterial SSU rRNA". It matches the Rfam family "Bacterial small subunit ribosomal RNA", at positions 32 to 355 of the family's 1533-position model. The record is from RNAcentral.
AAUCAACGCUGGCGGCGUGCCUAACACAUGCAAGUCGCACGAGAAAGGGACUUCGGUCCGUGAGUACAGUGGCGCACGGGUGAGUAACACGUGAAUAAUCUACCUCCGAGUGGGGAAUAACUGAGAGAAAUCUUAGCUAAUACCGCAUAACACUUACGAGUCAAAGCAGCAAUGCGCUUGGAGAGGAGUUCGCGGCAGAUUAGUUAGUUGGCAGGGCAAUGGCCUACCAAGACGAUGAUCUGUAUCCGGCCUGAGAGGCGCACGGACACACUGGAACUGAAACACGGUCCAGACUCCUACGGGAGGCAGCAGU